GCAGUAGCCACGGUAAUACGAGGGGGGCAAGCGUUGUUCGGAAUUAUUGGGCGUAAAGGGUGCGUAGGCGGUUUGACAAGUCUUAUGUGAAAUCUUCGGGCUCAACCCGAAGUCUGCAUAGGAAACUGUCGGGCUUGAGUAUUGGAGAGGUGAGUGGAAUUUCCGGUGUAGCGGUGAGAUGCGUAGAUAUCGGAAGGAACACCUGUGGCGAAAGCGGCUCACUGGACAAUAACUGACGCUGAUGCACGAAAGCUAGGGGAGCAAACAGGAUUAGAUACCCCAGUAGUCCCUGUCUCUUAUAU
RNAcentral lists this ribosomal RNA (302 nucleotides) under uncultured bacterium. RNAcentral's name for it is "partial 16S ribosomal RNA". It matches the Rfam family "Bacterial small subunit ribosomal RNA", at positions 508 to 809 of the family's 1533-position model. The record is from RNAcentral.